GAGGCCGCAGCCCUGAAGACUGCAGCUGGCGGGAACCGAGCUUCCCUACCCGAUCCCCGGGGGGAAGAUCCAGAAGCAAGCGGCUCCACACACCGGAGGCACGAGGCACCAAGGCGCCAGCCUACGGAGGCUUCAGAACCGCAACAAGACCCGGGUGAGAGGGGGAGGAGACCCCGGCAGGAAGGGCCCUGGAAGAGGCGGAGGGCAGAGGCUGGGGGCGGCGGCGGCAGCCGUUCCCGGGGAGGGGGAUUACCUGACUGUGACGGUAGAAAACUGUCCUCGGACUCCGGCGGCGGUCCCGGCUGCGCACCGUGUGGUGUCUCUCCCGCUUCCCCCGCAAGAGCAGCAGUAGCAGCAGCAGCAACAGCAGCUCCCUCAGCCAGUCGCCAUUUCCCGCCUACCGACCUGCUGCACCGCACGGACAGAGACCCGGAUGGAGAGCGGCCUCUCCGCGCAGGCGCCCUGGCUCCCUCCACCCCCUCCCGCCACAAUUCCGCGAGGUGGGGGGAAGGGUUGGGAGAGGCUGUAGCAGCUGAGGAGACUCCGGUUUCCGUGACAGGAAUUAGGAGCUACUGUCUCUGGAAGGAACUGGUCCAAGUUCCUGACAACAGUUGAACGGAGGGCCCUAGGACCAGGGGGAGCGGCAGGAGUACAGGAUCUACGACGGGGCAGAGGGAUAUUUGUACAUUAGGGGCCUCCGUAGCCGGCUGUGUUGUGGUCGCGGGAGGAGUAGGGAGUAAAGCGUUGGGGGGCGAGGGGGCGGGGACCGGGAGGACGGUUUUUUCUCCCGCUGGUAACGGAACUACUGGGGCGGGGAGAGGAGGGGAAGGAGAACGCGCCCUCGCCCUGGGGGGAGGGACUUAAAGGAAUGUCGCGCGCUGUGGCCCUGUGCCUUGCGAGCGAGUCCACGAGCCGGGAGGUGGAACCAGACCAGCCCCACGGGGGUGGUGCGCUGCGGGGGCGGGUCCGGCUGUCUGGCGCGCGAAAGGUGGGCAUGAGUUGGAGUGUUCGAGUGUGCAGGUUUGGCGGAGGCCGGCGGCCAAGGGCUAUUGGCUUUCUUUGGGUCUGUCUUUUCCCCAGGGGCCUUUGACGUCUGCCCAGCCUGGCUGCCUUGGCGUCAUAAUUGCUUUGGGGAUUCGUUCUUGGUUUAUUUGCAAAACUGCUCUCUCUCCCUUCUCUUGCUGGGCUCACUCGGGCGUCUGUAGAGAUCGCACGCCCAACCCCACCCUUGGCCACCCGUUACCUAUCUGAUUCGGCUUGUACCCUUUCCACUGGGUACACUUGUCUCCUAAAGAUCCCCAACUUUAAGCCAUCUUGGGAAUCCCUGACUCUUGCACGUGUGCAAAUCUUGCGCUUUGCAAAGAAGCCCUGCACUGUAGUCACCAGAACGACUCGAAUGCCUUGUAUUUAGUGUUUAAAAAAAAACAAAACUUAAUAGGAUGUAUUCCUUCACACCCGUUUUUUUUUUUUCAUUUGAAUUUUGCUACAAACCCCCGAGGGAAACAAGUUGAGUAGUUGGGAGUGCGUCUCCUUCCUCUGAGCAUCUUUUACAAGUCAGACCCAACCAGCUUUGUCAGUUUGAUCCUUAAUGCCUCACAUUGAUUAAAAACAAAUGCACCAAGACCUUCCUGGUGUGCCCCCGGCAUUUAUUGAGAGUUUGCUAGUCUCGUAAUCCUUGUUUAAUUGAAGACAGAGAUCAUAGAUUGUUAGAACCCUACUGGUGAUCCCAGAAAUCAGUGGGGAAUAAAUGUUUGCCGAAUCACCA
This is a long non-coding RNA of Monodelphis domestica (gray short-tailed opossum), 1765 nucleotides long. The record is from Ensembl. NCBI's taxonomy places the organism in Eukaryota, Metazoa, Chordata, Mammalia, Didelphimorphia, Didelphidae.